GCUCAGGCCCCUUCUGUGCACAGUUCACCUCACCUUGGCAUAGCCCUAGUGCUCCCGAGUGUAGGCAGUGACAAAAUGUGGUAAGCUUGGGGUUUGCUAACUGUCAGAGGUAGGAAGUGUGCAUGGCUGGAAAGGGUGCUUUCACCAAGCCCCAUGUAUCACAGAGGCUUUUCAGAUAUGCACUGAGCAGUCACUUGGGAUGUGCAAACUAAAAGACUGCAUAAGAUUCGACUGAAUGAAUGCAGUCUGUAGUCUGGGACAUGUGGGAUCUAGUCCAUGCACAGCUUGAGAUCUGGAGUACAGUGCUGUGUUUGCAGGCAGUCACUAUCUUAAGCCUCCUCAAAGUGAGGUAGCUUAUGCACACCACUUUCAGACCACAAGAAGGGUCUGUGGGUCCCAAAUGUGUCAGCGUUUUCCAGCUGCCUUGGUAAAACCUGCAGCUGGUUUUAAUCGCGUCCCUCGGUUCUGAGAUGAUGAGCUCAGAGAAGCUUUCCUCAAGCUUCAAGAUCCCACUGGAACUUGUGGUAUUUGGACAUUGUAUUAAGUACUUUAUCUAAGGUCUGUGGAAAUACCUACUUACUGAGCUCUGCUCAUGCUCACACACAUCUGCUGCUCGCUUACAGUGGAAAUCUCAUAGACUUUUCCCUUUUGCAUCAUGGGAAACCAUCUCAGAAAUGGCACUCUGGAGAGUUAAACCUCUUUUUUUAGAAAAGACUGGAGGAAAAGAAAGAUACAGGACAGCAUCCUAGUUGCAGUCCAAUACAGGGGAAGGAAUGGGGUAAAGGAGGACUCUUCUCCCUCUUACUCCUCUCCAGCAAAGGAGUAAAGCAGAAAAGAGCUGUGCAGUUGUGGGCUCAGGGAGCAUCCCUGGGAAGUGAAAGCGCUGGAACCCUUGUACCCUGGCAGAUGAGAAGGUGCUCUACCUUUCCCUCCAGGGUACCAGUAGAGAGUCCAGCUGUUUCUUUCUCCCACCCUUACAAGUGAGGUGAGAUCAGAUGAGCUGGGGGUUAGGCUCAGGUUCAUCAAAGACAGUCAAGUUCUCGUGGUUCUCUCUC
Long non-coding RNA from Pezoporus occidentalis (night parrot), 1055 nucleotides. RefSeq lists it as uncharacterized. The record is from RefSeq and is a predicted model, not a curated record. The transcript has 3 exons. Lineage: Eukaryota; Metazoa; Chordata; Aves; Psittaciformes; Psittacidae.